GACGAACGCUGGCGGCGUGCCUAAUACAUGCAAGUAGAACGCACAGUUUAUACCGUAGCUUGCUACACCAUAAACUGUGAGUUGCGAACGGGUGAGUAACGCGUAGGUAACCUGCCUGGUAGCGGGGGAUAACUAUUGGAAACGAUAGCUAAUACCGCAUAAUAUUAAUUAUUGCAUGAUAAUUGAUUGAAAGAUGCAAUUGCAUCACUACCAGAUGGACCUGCGUUGUAUUAGCUAGUAGGUGAGGUAACGGCUCACCUAGGCGACGAUACAUAGCCGACCUGAGAGGGUGAUCGGCCACACUGGGACUGAGACACGGCCCAGACUCCUACGGGAGGCAGCAGUAGGGAAUCUUCGGCAAUGGACGAAAGUCUGACCGAGCAACGCCGCGUGAGUGAAGAAGGUUUUCGGAUCGUAAAGCUCUGUUGUAAGAGAAGAACGGGUGUGAGAGUGGAAAGUUCACACUGUGACGGCAUCUUACCAGAAAGGGACGGCUAACUACGUG
Molecule: ribosomal RNA, 505 nt
Filed under: uncultured bacterium
Lineage: Bacteria
Description: partial 16S ribosomal RNA
Rfam family: Bacterial small subunit ribosomal RNA
Source: RNAcentral